GAUGAAGAACGUAGCGAAAUGCGAUAAGUAAUGUGAAUUGCAGAAUUCAGUAAAUCAUCGAAUCUUUGAACGCACAUUGCGCCCGGUAGUAUUCUGCCGGGCAUGCCUGUUCGAGCGUCAUUUCAACCAUCAAGCCCCAGCGCUUGUGUUGGGGGCCUGCGGCUGCCGCAGCCCCCUAAAAGCAGUGGCGGGCUCGCUAUCACACCGAGUGCAGUAGUUCAUCUUCUCUCCGGUCUUGUGAGGCGGGUUCCGGCCGUGAAACACCCCACUACAUUCAAGGUUGACCUCGGAUCAGGUAGGAAUACCCGCUGAACUUAAGCAUAUCAAUAAGCGGAGGA
RNAcentral lists this unclassified non-coding RNA (338 nucleotides) under soil metagenome. RNAcentral's name for it is "partial contains 5.8S ribosomal RNA, internal transcribed spacer 2, and large subunit ribosomal RNA". The stretch from base 1 to 120 matches the Rfam family "5.8S ribosomal RNA", at positions 35 to 154 of the family's 154-position model. The record is from RNAcentral.